RNAcentral lists this ribosomal RNA (253 nucleotides) under uncultured bacterium. RNAcentral describes it as "partial 16S ribosomal RNA". It matches the Rfam family "Bacterial small subunit ribosomal RNA", at positions 524 to 776 of the family's 1533-position model. The record is from RNAcentral.
UACGUAGGGGGCUAGCGUUGUCCGGAUUUAUUGGGCGUAAAGAGCGUGUAGGCGGCCAGGUAGGUCUGGUGUGAAAACUCGAGGCUUAACCUCGAGAUGUCAUCGGAAACCAUCUGGCUAGAGUCCGGAAGAGGAGAGUGGAAUUCCUGGUGUAGCGGUGAAAUGCGCAGAUAUCAGGAAGAAAACCAAUGGCGAAAGCAGCUCUCUGGGACGGUACUGACGCUGAGACGCGAAAGCGUGGGGAGCGAACAGG